GUGUUGGAAACAGAAGGUUCAAAAAUGUGCUGUCUCUGGUCUUUGUAGCCACAGACCAAGGUUGGAUGACAAUCCUCGUGUGAUGGUUCUUACUGAGACAUGGCUUCCCAAGUGGUGUUAGUGGUAAAGAACCCGCCUGCCAAUGCAGGAGAUGUAAGAGACAUGGAUUCGAUCCCCGGGUCAGAAAGAUCCCCUGGAUAAGGAAAUGGCAACCUAUUCCAGUAUUCUUGCCUGGAGAAACCCAUGGACAGAGAAGCCUGGUGGGCUACAGUCCAUGGGGUCACAAAGAGUUGACACAACCAAAGUGAGUUAGCAUGCACACGUGCUUCCUUAUGGGCGUCCCUGAUAACUCAUCUGUUAAAGAAUCCGCCUGAAAUGAGGGAGACCUGGAUUCAAUUCCUGGGUUGGGACGAUCCCCUGGAGAAGGGUCCCUUGAGAGUCCCUUGGACUUUAAGGAGAUCAAACCAGUCAAUCCUCAAGGAAAUCAGUCCCUUCAUUAGAAGGAUGCUGAAGCUGAAACUCCAAUACUUUGGCCACCUGAUGUGAAGAACUUACUCAUUGGAAAAGACCCUGAUGCUGGGAAAGAUUGAAACAGGAGGAGAAGGGGACGACAGAGGAUGGGAUGGUUGGAUGGCAUCACUGACUUGAUGGACAUGAGUUUGAGCAAGUUCUGGGAGUUGGUGAUGGACAGGGAAGCCUUGCGUGCUGCAGUCCAUGGGGUCUCAAAGAAUUGGACACGACUGAGUGACUGAACUGAACUGAUGCUUUCUUAUGCCCACACUCCUUCUAGUUAUUUCCAGUUGCACUGUAGAACAUGAGGGUUGGAAAGGAUUUGAGGGAUCAUCAAGUCCAUUUGUUGGAUUGCUUCUAGACGAUCUCUGACAUGGUCCAUCUGUCCUAUCCUUGAAUGAUACUACAGAUAGGGGCUCACAGUUAUGUAAAGGAGGAUGCUUAGAAGUUGGUCCAGUCUUUCUGAUUGUUAGAAGCAUGGGAUCUGCCUUCCUGUGUCUGUGCUCAAUAUUCCUUCAACAAAUGUAUCCUG
Long non-coding RNA from Bos taurus (domestic cattle), 1042 nucleotides. The record is from Ensembl. NCBI's taxonomy places the organism in Eukaryota, Metazoa, Chordata, Mammalia, Artiodactyla, Bovidae.